This 446-nucleotide ribosomal RNA is filed under the name uncultured bacterium. RNAcentral describes it as "partial 16S ribosomal RNA". It matches the Rfam family "Bacterial small subunit ribosomal RNA", at positions 338 to 795 of the family's 1533-position model. The record is from RNAcentral.
CCUACGGGUGGCAGCAGUCGAGAAUCAUUCACAAUGGGGGAAACCCUGAUGGUGCGACGCCGCGUGGGGGAAUGCAGGUCUUCGGAUUGUAAACCUCUGUCAUGUGGGAGCAAAUUAAAAAGAUAGUACCACAAGAGGAAGAGACGGCUAACUCUGUGCCAGCAGCCGCGGUAAUACAGAGGUCUCAAGCGUUGUUCGGAAUCACUGGGCGUAAAGCGUGCGUAGGCUGUUUCGUAAGUCGUGUGUGAAAGGCGCGGGCUCAACCCGCGGACGGCACAUGAUACUGCGAGACUAGAGUAGUGGAGGGGGAACCGGAAUGCUCGGUGUAGCAGUGAAAUGCGUAGAUAUCGAGAGGAACACUCGUGGCGAAGGCGGGUUCCUGGACAUUAACUGACGCUGAGGCACGAAGGCCAGGGGAGCGAAAGGGAUUAGAUACCCGGGUAGUC